Molecule: long non-coding RNA, 900 nt
Filed under: Toxoplasma gondii VEG
Lineage: Eukaryota; Apicomplexa; Conoidasida; Eucoccidiorida; Sarcocystidae
Source: RNAcentral
GACGUGGUCUUCAGCAGGCAUCGAUAACUUGGGAGUCUCUGUCUAUAACUAAGGACCUGUUUACUCUCUUAGGUUGUGCAAUUCUAUCAACCCCAAAGAAACUCUGAGUCUGUGUCUCAUCACGGGACUCAAUGAAACCAGGGAAAAGAAGGAGCCAGCACGGGGCUAAUGAAGAAUCUGUAAAAAUGCAGAUGCGGAGGGUAAUUUAAGGACGCAAGAAGACGGGAUGCUAGGACAGACCGAAAGAAAGUGACGGAACAAACGAUGAAGAUACAGAGACGGAGGAAGCGGCAAAGAGAAUACGAAGAAACAGGUUGACAAGGAAUCAAACAGACGCUGUACGAUUUUGGUAACGAUAACUGUUUCGUGACACACACACUUCUGGUUGACACAUACAAUAUAUAUAUAUAUAUAUAUAUAUAUAUAUACAUAUGUAUAUAUGGAUAAAUAGGCAUGUAAAUGUUACAACUCCGGUUUAUUCAGGCAGUGAUUUCUGUAUGUUUUCCACAGAGCACGAGUAUUAGAAUGUCGGAUAGAUCUGCGGCUGUGUUUUAUUGUUUCUGCCGCCGUGUUGAUAGGUAGUGAAGCAUUCCUCGUUUUCUUGUUUCUGGUUCAUCGUGAAUGAGAACUCACCCGUUGCGACCUUGGUGCCAUGCGCGAUGUUGUCUCUUUCCCCCGUCAAGCGGAUCGUUUCGCUGAAUGAUUUCUAGUCUCGGGGGAGAAACGGAAACGGCAUCGAUGUCUCUCAAGGGCGUUCGAGAUACAGGAGCUGCGGGUGUCUGUACAGAGGUCUUUGUAUUUGCCCUAACUUUCCCGCUUGCAGAAUUCGCAUCUUUUGAGUCCUUUAAGUCAAAUCCACAGGCAAAAGACACGUUUUUUUCUGUAGACACAGAUGCUGCC